This 340-nucleotide long non-coding RNA is filed under the name Sorghum bicolor (sorghum). RNAcentral's name for it is "long non-coding RNA (SBIC_LNC018675)". The record is from RNAcentral. Lineage: Eukaryota; Viridiplantae; Streptophyta; Magnoliopsida; Poales; Poaceae.
ACAUAUAGUUUCAUAAAGUUUGUGUCACAUUCAACACUUUGUGACUAGAGUUUACCAAUCCUUUUCCAUAUGCCAAAAUAUCCUAUGUAUGGAAUGUGUAUCUUGAGGAGCUAUAACAACCAUGUAUUCAAAAGUUUUUCAUUUGAGGUCAUUUAGUGCCUAGUUUGACCUAGUUUGACCAAGUCAAAUUUUGGAUUUUUUCUAAAAAGUCACUUUGACCGGACCCUUGGUAGCCUCAGAUACAAAAGUCAUGAAUACAAGGUUUGUCCAGCUCAUCAAGAUACACAUUGUGUGUAAGGGUCAACUUUUCAUCUGAGAGAGUUUGGACCACUCAAAAUUU